UGCACUCCACUCCCUGUAUAAUUCCCCAAUGUGGCCAGUUGAAAAACCAGACAGGAGGUGGAGCUUAACCAUACGCUAUAGAAAGUUAAAUGCAAAUACGCCUCCUUUUACGGCCACCAUCCAAACAUUGGUACAUUAACCACCACCAAGGUGCUGCUCACCCCUGGAUGGCAGAACUAGAUGUAAAAGGUAUGGUCUUUAUGGUGCCGCUGCAGGAGGAGGAUAAAAGAAAACUUGCUUUUACCUGGGAUGGCAUACAAUUUACUUUAAACAGACUUCCUCAGGGCUAUAAGCAUUCACCCACUAUAGCUCAGUGGAACUGAAUGUGGCAUUAGUGCUGGGUGGAUGUACCCCACCUAUGAAAUAAAAGGGGUAACCAGCCUGAAGUCACUCCUCCGAGACUUGUGUUAUUUUCUUUUUCCAGGAAUAAUACCGGGAUUGAUACCAGAAUGCCUCCCUUGGAGAUCGAAUUGAUCAUGGGAGGAAUAUUCAUCUCUCACAUGGGAACAAUCAUCGCUAGUAUAGACCAUUUCCGAUUCGCACAUCAACAAGCCUGAUGCAUAGGGUGGAGGCCCUCAUUUCUUUUAUUUGCGCUAAUCAAUACAGCCCCAGUGACCUCAUACGUGCCGUUAAAGGAAGAUUACACACUGCAUUGAGACCUUUUACCUUCCCCCAUUAGGAUGGACUUGACGCUGUUUCACAAGCUUCUGGCACAUAGAGACUUACCAGCCUUAUUGUGAAAGACACAACAACAAAGCAAAACCACAUUGAUAAGGGUACAUCACAAUGGAGAAGAAAUGCACCACAUACUGGAAAGAGGGAAGAAGGACGGGGAACACCACUGGUGAGAAACCCUAUUAGGAUGGUUUCCAGUGGCAAUGGGUGUAUGGAACGCCAUAUUACAUCCCGUGAUAAUAAGAAUAUAUUGCUACUGAUCAUGUGAAACUGUCUGAUUCGGCAUCUGAUAUCUAGAACAAAAGCCAAUGCCAGCCGGCUCCAAGAUGGAUCCGCCCCUGGCCUAGGCCAAGCCAAUCAGCGCCUCUGUGAUAACAUAAUUAAGAAGGAAAAACAAAACAGUUGAAAAAGCUUUUGCAACCAGAGAGAGGAGUGAGAAGAUGUAAGAAACUCUGCAGACACCAAGGUCAGUGAGGAAGGAGGGGGAGGAGGCGCUCCAGACACCAGAGCAAAGAUCCCCCUGCAGCCCGUGGUGAAAACCAUGGUGAGGCAAGCUGUCCCCUGCAGCCCAUGGAGGAAGGAUGAGGGGGUGUAGAGAUUCCACCUGCAGCCCGUGGAG
Grus americana (Whooping crane) is the source of this 1294-nucleotide long non-coding RNA. RefSeq lists it as uncharacterized. The record is from RefSeq and is a predicted model, not a curated record. NCBI's taxonomy places the organism in Eukaryota, Metazoa, Chordata, Aves, Gruiformes, Gruidae. The transcript has 3 exons.